RNAcentral lists this transfer RNA (66 nucleotides) under Chrysopa pallens. Its description in RNAcentral is "tRNA-Phe". The record is from RNAcentral. Lineage: Eukaryota; Metazoa; Arthropoda; Insecta; Neuroptera; Chrysopidae.
AUUUAAAUAGCUUAUAUUAAGAGCGUAACAUUGAAGCUGUUAAGGAGAUAAUUUUAUCUUUAAAUA